GUGGGGAUUAUGGCUCAGUGGCAGAGCGCUUGCCUCAAACAUGUGAGGCACUGGGUUCGAUCCUCAGCACCACA
Molecule: transfer RNA, 74 nt
Filed under: Marmota monax (woodchuck)
Lineage: Eukaryota; Metazoa; Chordata; Mammalia; Rodentia; Sciuridae
Description: tRNA.Leu
Source: RNAcentral